RNAcentral lists this ribosomal RNA (251 nucleotides) under uncultured prokaryote. RNAcentral's name for it is "partial 16S rRNA". It matches the Rfam family "Bacterial small subunit ribosomal RNA", at positions 525 to 775 of the family's 1533-position model. The record is from RNAcentral.
ACAGAGGAGGAAAGCGUUGUUCGGAAUCACUGGGCUUAAAGCGCGUGUAGGUGGCCGAGUAAGUGUUGUGUGAAACCCCGCGGCUCAACCGCGGAACGGCACGGCAAACUGCUCGACUUAAGGUCGGUAGAGGUGCCUGGAACUCUAGGUGGGGCAGGGAAGUACGUAGAGAGCUAGAGGAUGGUGGAGGGCGACAGCAUGACACUGGGUAGAGGCUUUGGUAGAGAGGGUAUGAUGUGUGGAGUGAGCAA